AUUGAACGCUGGCGGCAGGCCUAACACAUGCAAGUCGAACGGUAACAGGAAGCAGCUUGCUGCUUUGCUGACGAGUGGCGGACGGGUGAGUAAUGUCUGGGAAACUGCCCGAUGGAGGGGGAUAACUACUGGAAACGGUAGCUAAUACCGCAUAACGUCGCAAGACCAAAGAGGGGGACCUUAGGGCCUCUUGCCAUCGGAUGUGCCCAGAUGGGAUUAGCUAGUAGGUGGGGUAACGGCUCACCUAGGCGACGAUCCCUAGCUGGUCUGAGAGGAUGACCAGCCACACUGGAACUGAGACACGGUCCAGACUCCUACGGGAGGCAGCAGUGGGGAAUAUUGCACAAAGGGCGCAAGCCUGAUGCAGCCAUGCCGCGUGUAUGAAGAAGGCCUUCGGGUUGUAAAGUACUUUCAGCGUGGAGGAAGGGAGUAAAGUUAAUACCUUUGCUCAUUGACGUUACCCGCAGAAGAAGCACCGGCUAACUCCGUG
RNAcentral lists this ribosomal RNA (490 nucleotides) under uncultured bacterium. RNAcentral describes it as "partial 16S ribosomal RNA". It matches the Rfam family "Bacterial small subunit ribosomal RNA", at positions 30 to 507 of the family's 1533-position model. The record is from RNAcentral.